AGCAGUAGGCCGCGGUAAUACGGAGGGGGCUAGCGUUAUUCGGAAUUACUGGGCGUAAAGCGCACGUAGGCGGCUUCGCAAGUCAGAGGUGAAAGCCUGGGGCUCAACUCCAGAAUUGCCUUUGAGACUGCGUCGCUCGAAUCCGGGAGAGGUGAGUGGAAUUCCGAGUGUAGAGGUGAAAUUCGUAGAUAUUCGGAAGAACACCAGUGGCGAAGGCGGCUCACUGGACCGGCAUUGACGCUGAGGUGCGAAAGCGUGGGGAGCAAACAGGAUUAGAUACCCCGGUAGUCCCUGUCUCUUAUA
Molecule: ribosomal RNA, 303 nt
Filed under: uncultured bacterium
Lineage: Bacteria
Description: partial 16S ribosomal RNA
Rfam family: Bacterial small subunit ribosomal RNA
Source: RNAcentral